This 492-nucleotide ribosomal RNA is filed under the name uncultured bacterium. Its description in RNAcentral is "partial 16S ribosomal RNA". It matches the Rfam family "Bacterial small subunit ribosomal RNA", at positions 29 to 507 of the family's 1533-position model. The record is from RNAcentral.
AGUGAACGCUGGCGGUAGGCCUAACACAUGCAAGUCGAACGGCAGCACAGUAAGAGCUUGCUCUUACGGGUGGCGAGUGGCGGACGGGUGAGGAAUACAUCGGAAUCUACUUUUUCGUGGGGGAUAACGUAGGGAAACUUACGCUAAUACCGCAUACGACCUACGGGUGAAAGCAGGGGAUCUUCGGACCUUGCGCGAUUGAAUGAGCCGAUGUCGGAUUAGCUAGUUGGCGGGGUAAAGGCCCACCAAGGCGACGAUCCGUAGCUGGUCUGAGAGGAUGAUCAGCCACACUGGAACUUAGACACGGUCCAGACGCCUACGGGAGGCAGCAGUGGGGAAUAUUGGACAAUGGGCGCAAGCCUGAUCCAGCCAUACCGCGUGGGUGAAGAAGGCCUUCGGGUUGUAAAGCCCUUUUGUUGGGAAAGAAAAGCAGCAGGUUAAUACCCCGCUGUUCUGACGGUACCCAAAGAAUAAGCACCGGCUAACUUCGUG